RNAcentral lists this non-coding RNA (30 nucleotides) under Mus musculus (house mouse). The record is from RNAcentral. Lineage: Eukaryota; Metazoa; Chordata; Mammalia; Rodentia; Muridae.
UCCCAAGCACCAUUCAGUCCUCUUGCUGCC